UUUUCCUCUCUCUCUCAGGAACAGAACUUUUUCUCUCGGUCUUCUUUCAAAGCCUCUCUUUUCAUAAACAAAAACAAUUACGAAAUCUGCUUUGAUUUCAACCGAAAAUCCGAAAAUCAGGACCGUUUCUUCCAAAACCUGGUAUCCUAAUCAAAACCCAUGUAUCAGAAAUCUGGAUCCACAUUAUGAGAACUUGAAUUUUUUGGAAACCCUAGAGUAUCUUGUUCUUGAAAUCAAUAAAAACCCCUCAAUCUAAUAGUCGAUUAUGCUUUUAUCAACCAAAAGUUGAUUGAUUCUGACCUAAUUUAUCAUCAGUUGUUGGUGAUGUUGUUGAUGGAGGUUGGAUUCAGGUGUUAGUGGUUGGUGAUGUUUUGCUUGUCGUCGUUGGUGGUGGUCGGUUCACAGUUGUUGCCGUUAUGGGUGGUUUUUGGUGUUUCCUGUGGUAGUUUUGGUGAUGAAGUUUUGACCUAUUCUUGUUGGUGUCUUGGUGAUUGAUCUAUUGCAGUGUGGUUAUUUAGUCUUCAUUUUAAGAUGAUAUGAUUUUUUGGUGUUCUGUAGUGUGAGGUACAUGUGUAUGAAUUCAAGAAGAGACAACCUAACAAAUUCGCCUACAUCGUUGAAGUUCGGUCCAUCGCAAUCUCAAAUUAGACCACCAAGUGGCAUGCUUUUGCGAAUGCUUUCUCGGGCCAGUGCGAAAGGGGUAACUGAUUGUGGACUUCCAUAUCACGCAUUAAAUAAAACAAUUAUUAUUGUAUUCCAGGCUAUAGGUUUGUUGCUGAUAAGGAUAUUUUGGAGCAGAUUUGUUACGAAUUCUCUGAAAAAACCAACAAGUAUACAGUUAGCUCUUUUGUAACUAAGGCUGCUAGUAAUGUCAACAGUUAUAUUUUCCUUCCUUUCUCUAGUCAGUGGACUUUCUUAUUAAGUAGGUUAAGUGAGCUAUCAACAAUAUACACCUUGGUUUGGAGAGGCCACUAUAAUUUAUUGUUAUCUCAUCCAUCUAAGUAUUGGGGUUAACCUUUUUCAGAAUUAUACUUCCAGGUACACGUGAUUUUAUUGUUAAAUUUUAUCCUUCUAGGUGUAUAGAACUUCCAUUUUGAUGUUGGAUGAAUUUCUAAGCCAAUGAAUGUUUUUGUUGCAUUUUGGACCACCUCAUAGUGUUUACUUAUCUCUCUUUACAUCAGGUUGCCUUACAGCACAAGCAGUGAUUCCUUUUUUCUGAUGCCAAUAGAGGUGCUGCCAACUGAUGAGGUUGUCUGUUUCAACCUGCUGUAGGUUGCACUAGAUUACAUUGGUAAAAGAGGAUCCACUGUGGGUGUGACAAGAGAAAAGAGGAUCAAGUACGCAAAAGAGAUUCUCCAGGCAGCUUUCUAUUUUAGGUUGUUAAAGAAUUGAAAAGAUGUAUAGCAAAGAAUUGACAGAUGUUCAUCGAAAAUCGGACUCUGGUUCAGGGAGUUGUUUCACGUGUAUUCUUCCAUUAUUAUGCAUUCAGAAAUUCUCCGGAAGUUCUUCAGCUGCUCCCCUAGAUAUAUCAUUCAUUGACUGUUGCUAUGUUCUCCCGGUUGAAGGCCUGAGGAUGAUUGAGACCAUUAGAGAAACAAGAGGCUGGACAUUGCUGGUCCUUCACUUGGAGGCCUAUUCUGAAUGAUAUUCAGGAAGUUGACUAGGGAUGUCAGAGGCUACGUUCAGAAGGUUCUCUUUACAUGGACAUUGCUGGUCUUUGCUUAUGUUGCCUCUGCAUGGGAGAGUGUGUUGAGUAAUGGGUCUACACCGGCAAGUACCACCAACCCUCCUCGAAUAGUCACUCCUAGCCUAUAAAAAGGGUCCAAUACUUAUCCUGUUGGUGGAAGUCGUCGUGUUUUGGAUAAUGUGGAUAGGACUUAUACUCAUGUCAUGUCAUAUACAAAUAUGGAGUUGUUCUUUUCUUUUUCAGCAUUGAUGUUUAGAUCAGGCUUCGGUAUUGUUGGAGUGGCAAUGAUUGCAGUUCAAUUCCUUGUGGAGUGUUGAAGGAUUGCAGUUUAAUUCCAUGCUAACCGUUGAUUAACUGCCUCAAACUAUACUUAUCUUGCUACAUUCUAUCAAGCUUGAGCAGAGUGAAUUUGGCUGCAAACGACCUGCCUUAGAUUCUUCCACUCAUUGAAAAUAUCCCCUCCACGAACUGUUGAUUUCCCAUGAUUAACUAAACACGACAAGCGAUGAAAAAGAUUAGUGUAGCGAGUCAGGAGCCAGUUAUUUUCAAUUGCUCAGUCGAGGAAGACUUUAUCCACAAUCAUCAGUCGCCAACAACUUAUUCUUUGUGUAGAAAAUGCAGCGUUUCAUCAAGACUUUGUUGAUUCAGUGUCUGCUGAGCUAUUUAAUUGACCUAUUGGCACCUGCAAGAGAACUGGAAGAAGAGAGGCAUAAGAUAAAGGAACAGAGGAAGAAAACAUCCUUCUUGAUUGUGACAAGCAUGAGAUUCAUUACAUGGGGAAGGCUCAAAUUAAAAUGUUUAUCCACAUUACGAUAUUCUUAAAAGAGUUGUAUGAUAGGAACAAAGACAAACUAGAGUUGCAAGCUGGAGAACCGGAGCGACUUGCUGACAUUGACAAGAGCAUAAAGGAAUGGCAGGAAGAGGAAAGGAUUUUUCAGAAAUCACUGAAUAGAAAUAAACCAGUGUAUAACGGGAAGGAAUUUGAAGGUUUGGUAGUGGAAGAUUUGUUCACACAGCAACAACAAGGAGAAUCAUAUGGAAAAGGAAAUCAACAUGAAAUGAACUCUGCGGCGAAUGAUCAACCAACAGAUAGGAAUGAAACAAGAGUAAACAUGGAAGUCGAAGAUUCAGUGGUUGUGAACAAUGAAGACACUCAAGAAAUGAACGAUUCAUCGGGAACUAAAGAUGGAACUCCAAGUACUUUUGGAACUCAAGAUAAGUGUUGGCAGAAGGGUUUUGAAAGUGGAAUGAAGUUUUCAGAAAAACCAACAAGUAGCAAAUCUGUGGAGAGUUUGAAGGACGGCUUUGAUGCAGGAAGAAAACUAAAGCAAGCUGAUGACUUAGAGCUCAAUAAUGUGGUCGAAAACAUUUCAGAGGCCGAUUCGGUGGUCGAAAACAUUGCAAUAUCCGCUGGAAUAGUAGAAGAGAAAGAUGACAUACAAAUGGAAGUGGUUGUGUUUGACACUCCUUCAAUUACAACAAUAAAACCUGAUGAAAUCUCUGGGUAUGUGCAUACAGGUACCACACCGAGUUUCGGUGCAAUAAUGGAUGAGGUAAUGCGUAAGGCAACACAAGAAAAAGAAGAGGUUGAAGAGCAAACUGAAGAUGUUGACACUACAUCAGGAGCCGCAAUAGGGAAGGGUUGAAGCAAUUGUUUAAUUUGGAUGCAAUUGAGGAGUAAACUGAAGAGGAAACAGAAUCAUAGGAACAAUCAGAUGAUAUAAAAGCAUCAGAAACACAACAACUUCAGGUCAGUUCUCUUGUGAAAUGGGUGAAGAAGGGAGAAAGGCCGAAGAGAAAGACGUAUAAACUUCAAAGUCAAACACCUCCUGCUAAGCGUAAAAGGGUACAAAGGAAAGGUGGAAAAGUAAAAAAGAAGAAGCAAGAGGAGGAGCAAAUUGAAAUAAUUGACAUCGACAGUCAAAUUGAUGUCACACCAGCGGAAUCCAAAAAACUGAUAAAGCCAAAAAAACUAAAAUUGUGGAAAAAAAAUGCAAUGAGAGCGAAAAAGAACUCAUCCAGCCAUUCUUUGAGAAUGCAACUGAAUGCGACAAAGCUUACAGUUUUAUUUCUGCAAUCAUGAUUUGGAAGUAAUCAUCAAUGGGAAGCAGAUACAGUGUCUACUGAAUAAUCAAAACAUUCGCGGUGAGAUUGUUGAUUACUACAUCAACAUGCUGAAAUUAAAGAUGGAAUCGCCGGAUAAACCAGAAUACAUAAACCACAUUAUUCUCUCAACAAAUGAUUAUCCGUUAUUGGGGAUCGCAAUAGCCUCAAAAAAUAUGGCAAAGGUAGAGAGAUGUGGGAUUCCAGAAAAGCUGAGGAAUAGUUACACAGGGAAUGCUGAAGACACAUACCUCAUUAUACCAAUAUGCUUGACUGAUAAGGACGGUGUUGGAUACCAUUGGGUGGUGCUGGCAUUGGUAAAAGGAAAAUGGAUAGUGUACAACUCUGGAAGGCGCAACCCGGCUUACAAUUGGCAAUAUCUUGUGAUGAUAGUACCACUAACUAAAUGGCUGAAUGAAAUGGGCCACAGAGAUCCAGAGACAUGUGUUGAUAUUGAGACAAGCUUUUCACACUACACUGUACCAGCACAAGACUGAUGCAAUUGUGCAUUACAAACUUGCAUGUACAUGAAGAAUUUGGUAAAUCGUGGAAACUGUGAACACCUAUCUGAAAUCACAAACUUAGAUGAGAAGUUGAACAAGAAGAGAGUGAAGAUUGCAGCAAGAAUCUUGGCAGAAUUUGGUUCAUGGAAGAAACCGGAACAACUUCCUGAUUCAGCUACUGAACUCUAUUGAAGUAACCGGAACAACUUCCUCAAUGCAAAUGCAAGACUCAAUUGAACCAGUAGUUGAACCAGUAGCCGAACCAUUAGAGUGAGCUUGAUCUCAUAGUAUGUUCAUGGUAUGUAAAGAAAAUCUAACUGUAGUUUUAAACAUACUUAUCUUAGUAAGUAAAUCUUAUUGAUGUAGGUCUGAUUAUGAAUGAAUUAUUAUGAACCAUCAUGAAUGAAUUAUUAUGGAUGUAUUU
Papaver somniferum (opium poppy) is the source of this 4717-nucleotide long non-coding RNA. RefSeq lists it as uncharacterized. NCBI's taxonomy places the organism in Eukaryota, Viridiplantae, Streptophyta, Magnoliopsida, Ranunculales, Papaveraceae. The record is from RefSeq and is a predicted model, not a curated record. The transcript has 11 exons.